UGGAGUCUCACUCUGUCACCCAGGCUGGAGAGCACUGGAGUGAUCUCGGCUCACUGCAAGCUCUGCCUCCCGGGUUCACACCAUUCUCCUCUCAGCCUCCCGAGUAGCUGGGACUACAGGUGCCCACCACCAUGCCUGGCUAACUUUUUGUGUUUUUAGUAGAGACGGGGUUUCACCGUGGUCUCGACCUCCUGACCUCAUGAUCCGCCCGCCUCGGCCUCCCGGGAGAAGUCUUUUGGUUCACCCAUGUCUCCCUGACCAGGAAGCCAACUUCCUAAGUUUGAAUCCACCUGAGAAUUUUCCCUUGAGAGAGUCUAUCUUGCCAAAUAAAUUUCACUUGCAAUUGGGGUUGGCAUGCCAGGGAGGUGUUCUGCUCCCCACCCCCUUUUUCUUCCCUUUUGAACUCAGAUCUGGGAAUUGCUUAAGGAGCUCCUUUGUGGGUUUGAGACAGGCACAACCUGGACUUGGCGGAUAACAAGUCUUAUAGAUCCUUAGAUUGCUGCCUGUCAGUUCCAUUCCCAGGGCACUGUGGCUUAUAAACCACUGCACUUGUGCACUGACUUAUAUCACUUUGUAGCUAUCUCUUAAGGCUUCACCUUCACGUGGGUGACUUCUCUAGCCCCACACUUGUAGGGCUUACGUGCUUAGCAAUCUCAGUUUGUGUUCCUUAGCAAUCUCAACUCUCCCAUUUCUUUUUUUUUUCCAAUGGCCUUGUUUUCUGUUUUUUUUUGAGAUGGAGUCUCACUCUUGUUGCCUAGGCUGGAGUACAAUGGCAUGAUCUUGGCUCACUGCACCCUCUGCCUCCUGUGUUCAAACAAUUCUCCUGCUUCAGCCUCCCGAGUAUCUGGGACUACAGGUGCCUGCCACCACACCUGGCUAAUUUUUGUAUUUUUAGUAGAGAUGGUGUUUCACCAUGUUGGCCAGGCUGGUCUCAAACUCCUGACCUCAGGUGAUCCACCCACCUCAGCCUCCCAAAGCACUGGGAUUACAGGCGUGAGCCACUGUGCCUGGCCUCCAAUGGCCUUGUUGAAGAUCUGAAUUCAGCUUCUUCUUAAACUGAUUGAUUUUAUAUAUCAUUUCCCUUUAUGCCCCAACCAUUGUCCAGCUCAGUCAUGUCAAGAUAAAUCAUAUUUGUCCAGUAGAGAAGUACAGUGGCAAAUGAUUCUGAAGGUCCUGGGGGACCUUCCCACAUUCUUUGUAUCCUUCUAGAUCUCUCUGUUUCAACUCAUAAGUCCCAGUUUUUGCCAAAGAAGCAUGUGGCAGCAGAGAAUUCAGCCUGUGUUGCACAACUGGAAUGACCAGUUUGGGUCCUAUCAGUGCUGACUGCCAUCAGAAAGUGUUUUCUAUACCAGUUACAUGGUGAUCUCUUAUCUGAUAGCUUACCUCCCUCAUCUGAUUUUUGUAUAUUGCUCUAUUCUGCAUCCAGACCUUUGUUCCAGGGUUGGCUAUCUAUCAUCUGCAGAUCAUUUCAUGUAUGAGAAGCAGAAAUCCUUACAUUCCUUUUUUUUUUUUCCAGAGGUUCUUUUGCAACCCAGGGUCUAUUCACUUCAUGAGGUUUGUGAUAGUUUCAGAAACUGCAUGCAAAACUUAUGCAUAUAUGUGAAUUUUAUAGAAGGAGGAGCCACAGCUUCUAUUAGAAUGUCAGUGAGCUGCAUAAGUCCCCAAAAAUCAUAAACAGCUGCCUUACCUCCGUUUAAUUGCUCCAUAUUCUAUAGUAAGGUUUCCAUAUGUUCCUCAAAGCCUUUCCUUCUCCAAGUUCAUGGUCUGGAUCCCAAAAGAGCAGAAACUUUUUAUGGGCUGAUAGCUUUCUAUCUAGCGGUAGGAUAUUCUUCCCUACCUCUCCUUCAUGAUAACACAGCUACUUCACAUCUCCUCUGAGAGGCUGUUGUUUGGCAUCUGACCAUUGGUAAAUGGACGAUACAUUACAGAGGGGGAAUGCUGCUAACUCCAGCUGAAAUGCCUGUUAUUCAGGCCAUAAUAUCAAUCAUCUAAUAGAAGGUGAAGUUGAAAAUUGAUACUCUCUACAAAUAUUAAUUAUACUGUAGAGUUAUACUUUCAUUGGUGUUUAAAUAAAAAGCUUUUUAAAGGUGGCAUUUCUUCUAGAGUGAAACAAAUCAUCAUUAAUACUUUCCCCCUUAAAAUGAAUUUUCUUUAGUUAUGAAAUCAGUGCAUUAUUUUUUUUAAAAAUGCAACAACAUAGGCAAGCAAAAGAAAAAGUAUAAAAUUUUGGCUGGGCACAGUGGCUCACACCUGUAAUCCCAGCACUUUGGGAAUCCGAGGCAGGUGGAUCGCUUGAGCCCAGGGGCUUGAGAUCAGCCUGGGCAGCAUAGUGAGACCCUGUCUCUAUUUUUAAAAAUAUAUAAAUACAUAAAAUAAAAAGUGUAAGAUUUUACUCAUAAUUCAACCCACUUGGUGAAAAAUUCCUAUGACAAUGUGCUGAGUAUUCAAAAUUAUUUGACUGUAUGUGUGUAACUGAUUUAAAAAAUAAAAAUGGAAUCAUGUUUCAUAUUCUAUUUUUAACAGCUUUAUUGAGGUAUAAUUGACAUAUAAUAAAUGCCACAUAUUUGAAGUAUCCAAUUGAUAAGUUUUGACAUAUGUACCCUCUUGUGAAACCAUCUUCACAAUCAAGACAGUGAACAUGUUAUCCAUCCCUUCCAAAAAUUUCCUCAUGCUCCUUUGUAACACCUCCCUCUCACCCAUCUCAUCUUGCACCAACCACUGAGCUGUUCUCUGUCACUACAGAUUAGUUUUCAUUUUCCAGGCUUUUAUAUAAAUAGAAUCAUCCAGUUUGUAUUCUUUUUUUGGUCUGGAUUUUGUCAUUCAGCAUAUUUAUUUUAAGAUUCAUACAUUUUAUUGUGUAUUUCAACAGUUUGUUUCUGUUCCUUGCUGAGGAAUAUUCCAUUGUAUGGCUACAUCACAAUUUAUUUAUCCAUUCUCUUGUUUAUAGACAUUUAGAGUAUUUCCAACUUCUUUGCUUUUAUAAGUAAAGUUACCAUGAAUAUUUUUGUACAAGUCUUUUUAUGGAUAUAUAUUUCUUUUUUCUGGAGUGGAAUAGUUGGAUCAUAUGGUAGGUAUAUGUUUAAGUUUUAAAGAAACUACAAGAUGUUUAUCAAACUGAUUGUACUACUUUCUAUCCACAUAGCAGGGUAUGGAGUUUCAGUUACUCCACCUCCUCACCAACACUAGCAUGGCCAGUUUUUGUGGUUGGUGGAUAAGUUAAUUUCUUUUAUUCACUUUCAGAAUAUCAGAGUUGACAGAGUCCUUAAUAAUCAGUUAGUCCAACUGUUCACUUCAUAGACUGAGAGAUGGGGAG
RNAcentral lists this long non-coding RNA (3313 nucleotides) under Homo sapiens (human). RNAcentral describes it as "LHRI_LNC1104.1". Lineage: Eukaryota; Metazoa; Chordata; Mammalia; Primates; Hominidae. The record is from RNAcentral.